AUCUUUUUCUGUAUUAAAUUAGAUGAAAGAGUGGUAAUAUUUUUAACCUUGUCUGUUUUUAAUGGAUAUUUAGGAAAUGGGCAAUGUAAUGUCGUGUAUUUCCUUAAGAGUUAUAACCUCUUCCAUCCUGUAGGCCUUUUAUCGGGAUGCCAGCAACAAUCUCAAGCAUGGCAUAUAACUUCCACUGGCUUACCAUCCCCCAGCUAAUUCACUUCAAAAUCCUCCUUAUCCCCGACAAAUCUCUCCAUAACUUGGCUCCCCCUUACCUGAAUGAACCUCUCCACUGACACACUGCCACCUGUACUCUCUGCUCUGCUGAUGUUGGCCGCCUAUCUAUCAACCUUCCGGACCAAAUGCCGGACCUGAGGUGACAAGGCUUUCUCCAAUGCCACUCCCACCCUCUGGAGCUCACUCCCUAAAAGCAUCAGAGAAUGCUGCUUUGUGUUCCUACCUACUUUUUAAAUCAUCUAGUGUCUAGAAAAGCACUAUAUGAGUAGAAAGAUCUAAAGGAAUGGUGCUGGACAUCAUGCUUGGGAAAAGUACAUGGUUAAAGGAGAAGAGGGAGGUAAAGAAUCAGAUGGAUAGACGGUGUGACCAACAUUUGACCUUGUAUUUAAAUUGCAGUGGCUGCUUAUUACUUUAAUGUAGACCUUGUUCUUGCAUCACACACCCUAAAGAAAUAUGUGAUUGUUUAACUUCAGCCAAAAGCACUAAUUUGAUUUUCCUCAACUCUACACAAGUUGUAACUAAACAUCAAACUCUUCUGGGCUUUGUAUUCCCCAUCUGCCAGUGAAUGAGGAGUUUAACAGGACAAUGUUUACUGAGCAUCUAUGGCCUGGUAUGGAGAAGUGGCUUCUGGUGACUGUGCUGGGACUGGAAAUGGUCGUGGGAGUUGUGGGAAACAGUCUUGUUCUGCUUGUCAAAGUCAUGUGUAGAGGCCAAUUCUGCUGUCGUUACUGGUUUCCUUUCAUCAGUCUCACCCUAUCAGAUCUAGGUACAAUGUUCACUGACACCACAGAUCAUAUAUUUAGUUUUCUUCAAUAGUCGUCUAUUGAUCCACAUCAUCAGUUCAUUUGAUUCUGGUAAUCUAACACAUUUACUACAUUGUCUGACAUGUAAUUUGAGUGCAGGAAUUCCUUUCUGAAAAUGAGCCACUGUGUUCUCAAGGCUGCUCCGUCCUUAUCAUCUCUGGCUCCAUGCUGGCCAUUCUGACAGGAGGUCAGAGGUCACCAUGGUGUGAAGUAGUCAGCCUGCUGAAGUUUGCCUUCAUCACCUCCUCUAUAGGAAGCAUAGCUGUCCUCUGUGUGCAGCGGCUGAUUGGCAUGGCCUUCAGAGGAAGUGCUCUCUUCGUUGUCAUGGUGACAGCGUGCUUGGUUUCUUGGGUGACAGGAGCUGUGUUCGGGAGCAUCCCUGUUGUUUACGCCUGGAUCAGUGAUGAGGAGGCGGAUCUUUCUGAAGUGGCUCCUCUUUUGGUGGCCUCCUACACAAUCUGCUACACUCCCUUUGUUGUGUCUGAGCUGAUCCUGCUGGGUAGGAUGGACCUGUCUCCAGCACCUGAUUGGUUAAGGACAUUAUCCUCCGUUAUGUCAUACCUGGACUGUGGUUUAAACCCUCUUAUCUACUGCACCCAUCAGAGCUUCAGGGAGGCAGGUCUGGCACUGUUAUGGACUAAAAGGAAACCAAUGUCAGAGCCUGUUCUCACUGCUGUCAUUAAGCAUUAAAUGUAAACAUGUGAGGGUUGAUAUAUAAAAUUCAAAAGGUGAGCCCAAAAAUACGCAGAUUUUUAAAAUAUAACUGCCAAGCAAAUUUGAAGCAUGCUUGUUGUACCCUGUUAUAAAUAAUUAAAGAAAG
Long non-coding RNA from Amphiprion ocellaris (clown anemonefish), 1851 nucleotides. NCBI's taxonomy places the organism in Eukaryota, Metazoa, Chordata, Actinopteri, Pomacentridae. The record is from Ensembl.